Molecule: ribosomal RNA, 253 nt
Filed under: uncultured bacterium
Lineage: Bacteria
Description: partial 16S ribosomal RNA
Rfam family: Bacterial small subunit ribosomal RNA
Source: RNAcentral
CACGUAGGGGGCUAGCGUUGUCCGGAAUUAUUGGGCGUAAAGAGCUCGUAGGCGGUUUGUUGCGUCGGCUGUGAAAUCCCGAGGCUCAACCUCGGGUCUGCAGUCGAUACGAGCAAACUAGAGUGUUGCAGGGGAGACUGGAAUUCCUGGUGUAGCGGUGAAAUGCGCAGAUAUCAGGAGGAACACCGGUGGCGAAGGCGGGUCUCUGGGCAACAACUGACGCUGAGGAGCGAAAGCGUGGGGAGCGAACAGG